ACGCAAGUCAUAAUCACUCUCAUGAUUCUUUUCCCCCUGUUUUCAGGGGUGUAACAGUAAGACGUCAGAAUAAGACAAAGAGGCUUGCCUGGGCCAUGAAACACCGCCAUUGGAAUACUGAAGACUGGAAGAAGAAAGAGUCAUCUUGAAAUGGAAAUGAGGUGGUUUCUGCUGAAGUAACCGAUGCCUAAUAACUGAGACACCACUAACACCUUAAGGUUAUCCUGUGUUAAUUUAAUGCUUGAGCCUUCCACUGAGACUAUGACAGAUGAUAAACUGAAUGACCAGAUGCAUCUCCCAGGUCCCAUGUCAGGUCUGUGCUGUACUUUUUUUUUUCC
Long non-coding RNA from Oreochromis aureus, 338 nucleotides. RefSeq lists it as uncharacterized. The record is from RefSeq and is a predicted model, not a curated record. The transcript has 3 exons. Lineage: Eukaryota; Metazoa; Chordata; Actinopteri; Cichliformes; Cichlidae.